AAACACUUCAUCCGUGCCAAGCAUAUGCUUAGACACGCUUGGCUUCCUUCACACGCGUGAGAAACCUAGCCUUCGCAUGCUCGCCGUCCACCACCAUCGAUCUCUCCCUCCUCCGCCGGAUCUUCGCCGGAAAAUCUUCCGGAACACAUAACUCUCCUCUCCUCUCCCUCUGGUUCUGUCUGUUGGAAAUAUACUUCCUUCACUCUGCUCCGGCUAAUUCGCCGGAAUAUUUAUUCUUGUAUAGAUAUGAAUCUGGUUACUCAGCGAUAACCGUCGGCUUCGGUGCA
This 287-nucleotide unclassified non-coding RNA is filed under the name Hevea brasiliensis (rubber tree). The record is from RNAcentral. Lineage: Eukaryota; Viridiplantae; Streptophyta; Magnoliopsida; Malpighiales; Euphorbiaceae.